UACGUAGGGUGCGAGCGUUAAUCGGAAUUACUGGGCGUAAAGGGUGCGCAGGCGGUUCUGAAAGUCAGAUGUGAAAUCCCUGGGCUUAACCUAGGAAUUGCGUUUGAAACUACAGAACUAGAGUGUGGCAGAGGGGGGUGGAAUUCCAUGUGUAGCAGUGAAAUGCGUAGAGAUAUGGAAGAACAUCGAUGGCGAAGGCAACCCCCUGGGCUAACACUGACGCUCAGGCACGAAAGCGUGGGGAGCAAACAGG
Molecule: ribosomal RNA, 253 nt
Filed under: uncultured bacterium
Lineage: Bacteria
Also listed under: 1 other name
Description: partial 16S ribosomal RNA
Rfam family: Bacterial small subunit ribosomal RNA
Source: RNAcentral